RNAcentral lists this ribosomal RNA (314 nucleotides) under uncultured Glomeromycotina. RNAcentral's name for it is "SSU rRNA". It matches the Rfam family "Eukaryotic small subunit ribosomal RNA", at positions 569 to 887 of the family's 1831-position model. Lineage: Eukaryota; Fungi; Glomeromycota. The record is from RNAcentral.
AGCAGCCGCGGUAAUUCCAGCUCCAAUAGCGUAUAUUAAAGUUGUUGCAGUUAAAAAGCUCGUAGUUGAAUUUCGGGGUCAGUAGGUUGGUCAUGCCACUGGUGUGUACUGGCCUCACUGAUUCCUCCUUCCUGAUGAGCCGUAAUGCCAUUAAUUUGGUGUUGCGAGGAAUCUGGACUGUUACUUUGAAAAAUUAGAGUGUUUAAAGCAGGCUAACGCUUGAAUACAUUAGCAUGGAAUAAUGAAAUAGGACGUUCGAUCUUAUUUUGUUGGUUUCUUAAGAUUGACGUAAUGAUUAAUAGGGAUAGUUGGGG